AUAAUCACGAGAAUGUGAAACGCUUUUAAAAGAAUGCACCGCUAAAUAAUAAUAAUGAUUUGAAAUAUAUUUUCGAUUCUUUAGUUCCUGAAGCUCCGAAAAAUCUUCGUUUGGUAGCUCAGACACAGAACCAAGUGAAACUAACCUGGGAUCCGCCCUCAAACUGUAACACUGUGGUGAAAUAUAUCAUACUGAUAGAAUGUGAAACACAGAAUUAUAGCAAAAAACAAACGGUUAUGGAAAACAUUUCCAUUAUUAAUGGUUUAAUUCCAGCUACGAACUAUAUCUUACAGGUGGCGGCUGCAAACAAAAGAGGACGUGGUCCAUUCUCUUCACUACAAAUUAAUACACCAGACAAAUAUAGUUAUAUUCCCCCGAAACUUAAUGUAGCAGUUAUUGGUAGAAAUGAGGUGCACUUGUCAUGGCUACCACCAAAAGAUGCACUCGGACGUGUCAACCGUUAUGAAGUUUUCAUGGAUGGAACAUUGGUAUAUUCAGGAAAUAAUAUGACCCUUGCUCUUACAAGAUUGACACCCGAUAGAGAAUAUACAUUUGUGGUAUCGGCUAUAACUAACGAAGGACGACUUGAUAGUGUUCCAUUGAAGAAGAAAACAUUUAAAGACGAUUUUAAUACAGAAACUAUCGUUUCGAGGUCGGUGACAAAUCUUGUAAAGAACAAAUAUUUUUCAAAGAAACCAAUAAAAUCGUAUCUGGCUCCAAGAAGAUGCAAAUCAGCUUAUUGUUUAAAAAGAAAUCAUUCAAAAAUAAAGGCUUCAGCAUCCGCCUCUUUACUAACCAAAAGAUCUACAUUCCAAAAACAUCAAAGUCAUUCUGCAUCACCAUUUAUGCAUCAUAUGCACAAUAAAAAGCAUAAUACGAAAUCCACACUAAUUAAUAAACGUUCAGCUAAAGAAUCUUUAGCUUUGUUGCCACCCAGUCAAAUUAACAUCAGUAUGUGUGGACACGAAUUAAAUAUUCUAGACAGUGAAUUUUUAUUAGAAACCGGUGACGGUCUGGAUUUGGAUAAAACCGUUGCUCUUUCAAAGACACCAGCCAAUUCAUCACUGGGAAACAGACUUCAUACCGCCGGCGAAAUAAUUGGACCGUUCCAUUCUACACCAAAUAAAGAGAACAUGGUAAAUACUUAUGAAGAGCGACAGUUCUCAAAGAAACUUCUUACUUCAAUGUGGAGUAUUCCACAAAACCUUCAAAGCAGACGACUAAAGAAAACCAGCGCCAAGCAACGUACUGAACAAUUACAUGUAUCUAACGCAAAACACAUAGAUAUAGAAAAGAACAAUUCUUGUUGUGUAGGCACAAAGUCUCGUUUGGAACGGAAAAUUCCCCGUGAUGAACUUGUCUCCAAAGAAAAAAGUAGAGGUAGUAAAGAAGUUUGCAAAAACAAUCAUUCCAAGAGUACAACUACUAAAGUUGAUCGAAGAACUAUAACCAUCGCUAGAAGUUUACACAAUCUUAAAUUAAACGAAGAUAAACGUUUGAGUAAAGAACUAAUAAGAUUAUCACCAUCUGUCGGCACCACAAAAAAGUUUGGUACUAAAGAAAUUAACAAGGCAAAACUAGUCUCAAAAGAUAAUCCGUCUUCAGGGAUUAAGAAUAAAGAUGAAAACAUUUCACCCGAGAAACUUUCUAAAAGUGAAUGUAAUAGCAAGCAGGAUAAACGCCAAAAAUCUAAAAAAAGUGUCCAUAAAAAUAAAUACAUGCGUUCAUCUGGCAGCGGAAAACACUCGCCGAAGUCUACAUCAAGCUUGACUUCAUCAUCCGGUAAAAGCAAAGUGAUACGAAUGCGCGGGAAGUCUGCCAUUUUAUCUUCUCCACAACUUGUUGGUAGGUCAAAUGGAACAGUGAAAGAAAGCAAGACAUCUCCUGGGAAAAUUUACUCAUCUCAUAAAGUAGGACAUUGGAGGAGUGCAGUGAAAAGUGAUGCAUCGAAAAAUGAUUUGACAACCAACGCUUUAAUCGAACAAGUUGUUUAUUCUGUACGUAAGCCGUCGUCCACUGGAAGAGCUAAAUCAAGUUAUCCCAGGCUAAGCGCGAUCACACUGACAUCAGAUGUCGCAGAGUAUCGCUACAAGUCUGCUGGCCACGGGGAAAAUUUCUUGCCCAGCCAAGUUCGGGCUCAGCCAAGUAAUUUGAAUUUACGCCAACUGGAAAGAAUCCAUUCAACGCUAUUGGAAAUGAAAGUGUUCUUGACGGUGAGGAUUACAAGGAAGUCUCUGAAAUUGCAAUAGUCUCUGAACGACUAUUGCAAGGGAUUUUACUCAAGAAGCAUUGCUUGUUCGGUUUUCUCGCCAAAGACAACAAGGGAAACUCGAAUCUACGAAGAAUAAUAUAUAAAAAAAUGCAAGAUAUGAUACCUACAUCUAUAUCUAUUGAUCCUUCG
RNAcentral lists this unclassified non-coding RNA (2401 nucleotides) under Octopus sinensis (East Asian common octopus). Its description in RNAcentral is "uncharacterized LOC118768674, transcript variant X1". The record is from RNAcentral. Lineage: Eukaryota; Metazoa; Mollusca; Cephalopoda; Octopoda; Octopodidae.